AUGGCAUGCCUGCACGAUCACGAGUGUGGGGAUCACAACUGCGCCGCCGAUUGGUCGCUCUACAAUCACAUCGACAUCCCCAAGGUGGUGGCUCUGAACGAAUCUGUGGCCGGGAGCGUCAAAUCGGUCUUCAAGUCGUGGGACCAGCGCCUCGAGACUUCCGUGGGUUUUCUGGAGAGCAAUGAGGGUGACCCUGAGUUACUUGUUUUCAUCCCAUUUACCUCAGAUGUGAAGAUCAAGAGCAUCGCUGUUGUUGGUGGUGCUGAUGGAACAAGUCCUUCAAGAAUGAGAGCAUUUAUCAAUAGAGAAGGUAUUGACUUUUCUGAUGCUCAAAACAUGCAGCCUGUGCAGGAAUGGGAACUGGCAGAGAAUUUGCAGGGAGUUCUUGAGUAUCAAACCAGGUAUUCAAGGUUCCAAGGUGUGGCCAACUUAACUCUGCAUUUUCCUGAUAACUUUGGUGGUGAUACGACUAAGAUAUAUUACAUUGGUUUGCGUGGUGAAGCUACUCAGAACAAAAGGGAUGUUGUGGCCACAAUUGUGUAUGAAGUAAUGCCCAAUCCAUCUGAUCACAAAACAAAAUCCGAGACUGGAGGUGGUUUCUCACAUGUUGAGUAG
Molecule: ribosomal RNA, 615 nt
Filed under: Triticum aestivum (bread wheat)
Lineage: Eukaryota; Viridiplantae; Streptophyta; Magnoliopsida; Poales; Poaceae
Description: partial small subunit ribosomal RNA
Source: RNAcentral